GUGGGAAGUUUCAGGGGAUGUGAUUUAACCUGAAGCAUCUGCAAAUAUGCCUCUUCGAGAGGUAGACCGGGAGGCAUCUGCAGGUGUGUGGGCAUUUCCUGUAUUUAGAGACUCAUCCAAGACUUCCUCCGGUGAGCUCCCCUUAGUGCACUGGACUUAAGACUUGAUUUACCAAAAUCUUUUUUUUUUUUUUUCUGCAGCUUUGCAGAUCACACAGUUUGUGGGAAAAAAAAAAAAAAAAAAGCUCUACCUCCCCGCGUGUACUUUGAUGAUGUAGACAGCAUGAAGCUGAAGAACUGCACCCAUCUCGAAGGUGGAAAUAGCUGCCAUGUCCAUGUGUGCAGAGUCGGUCCAGGCUGUCUUGGCACUGAGUGCCUCACUCCAGCCCCCGCACCUUCGCAGGGACUACCUUUGAGCAACACAGCUAUAGACGUUUUGAAUAAGGCAAGAUUUGAAGAAGGGAAAGGAGAACAGUAUCUGUGUCUGCGUUAGGAUGGAUGCAAGAAGAUGCAAGGAGUUGGAAAUGAUUUCAGGAAGUGAAAGCAGUGAGGUAAAUGAUUCUUUCAAGGUGUUAAUUUAUCAAAGAAAUGAGAGAAGGAGCCAGAUAGAGGGAGUAACAGGGAAAGCCUUUGUAUGUAAAGAUGGGAGAAAUCUGGGCAUGUUUAUUUUCUUAAGACAAAGGGUUGGAGCAAAGCCUUGAGAAGAUGAAGAUACUGGAGGUGAGGCCAAAAGUAACGAAGUGGAAGGGACCAGAUGAAAUAGCUGAGGUCCUCGGAUGGAGAGGCCAGCAACUGAGAAAAGAGGGUGGAAGCCAAUAUGGAGAGGUUUGCGGAUAGAGGAGCCCGUGGACUUGUCUGGUUUUCCCUUAAAAGAGAAAAGAGGCUAAUAUGCUGAGAGCAAGGAGGAGAAAUUAGAGCAGAGAGUUUAAAGAGAAAGGGAGAAGUUUGAAAUAGCUGCUGAGAAGAAUGGGGA
Molecule: long non-coding RNA, 972 nt
Filed under: Sus scrofa (pig)
Lineage: Eukaryota; Metazoa; Chordata; Mammalia; Artiodactyla; Suidae
Description: lncRNA (ENSSSCG00070006554.1)
Source: RNAcentral